Molecule: ribosomal RNA, 102 nt
Filed under: Erinaceus europaeus (western European hedgehog)
Lineage: Eukaryota; Metazoa; Chordata; Mammalia; Eulipotyphla; Erinaceidae
Source: RNAcentral
UCAGCCAUACUACCCUGAACACUCCCAAUCUCAGAAGCUAAGCAGGAUCGGGCCUGGUUAUUGGAUGGGAGACCAAUGUCAAUAGCAUGGUCAGUGGCUUAC